GAAUUCUCUAGUGAUUCAGGCGUAACACAUGCAAGUCGAACGGCAGCACGGACUUCGGUCUGGUGGUGAGUGGCGAUCGGGUGAGUAAUAUAUCGGUACAUACCCAGUAGUGGGGGAUAACUAUCCGAAAAGAUAGCUAAUCCCGCAUACGAUCUGUGGAUGAAAGCAGGGGAUCUUCGGGCCUUGUGCUAUUGGAAUGCCCGAUAUCUGAUUAUCUAGUUGGUAGGGUAAAAGCCUACCAAGGCGACGACCAGUACCUGGUCUGAGAGGACGACCAUCCACACUGGAAUUGAGACACGGUCCAGACUCUUUCGGGAGGCAGCAGUGGGGAAUUUUGUCCAAUGGGGGCAACCCUGAUCCU
This 361-nucleotide ribosomal RNA is filed under the name uncultured bacterium. RNAcentral's name for it is "bacterial SSU rRNA". It matches the Rfam family "Bacterial small subunit ribosomal RNA", at positions 43 to 390 of the family's 1533-position model. The record is from RNAcentral.